Molecule: transfer RNA, 90 nt
Filed under: Luteitalea sp. TBR-22
Lineage: Bacteria; Pseudomonadati; Acidobacteriota; Vicinamibacteria; Vicinamibacterales; Vicinamibacteraceae
Description: Vicinamibacteria bacterium TBR-22 tRNA-Ala
Source: RNAcentral
GACGAGGGUGGCCGACGAGGCACCGAGCCUGGCGCGCUCGGCGCGUCCCGGCGGCUCGAGGCUGGUCAGUACGGGCGCCGACUCACGUCC